UACGUAGGGUGCAAGCGUUGUCCGGAAUUAUUGGGCGUAAAGCGCUCGUAGGCGGUCUGUCGCGUCGGCUGUGAAAACCCGGAGCUCAACUCCGGGCCUGCAGUCGAUACGGGCAAACUGGAGUGUUGCAGGGGAGACUGGAAUUCCUGGUGUAGCGGUGAAAUGCGCAGAUAUCAGGAGGAACACCGGUGGCGAAGGCGGGUCUCUGGGCAACAACUGACGCUGAGGAGCGAAAGCGUGGGGAGCGAACAGG
Molecule: ribosomal RNA, 253 nt
Filed under: uncultured bacterium
Lineage: Bacteria
Description: partial 16S ribosomal RNA
Rfam family: Bacterial small subunit ribosomal RNA
Source: RNAcentral